GAUGAACGCUGGCGGCGUGCCUAAUACAUGCAAGUCGAGCGAAAGGACGAGUAUCUGGGUGUACUGGUGUUAGCGACGGACGGGUGAGUAACACGUAGAUAACCUAUCUAUAAGACUGAGAUAACUUCGGGAAACCGGAGCUAAUACCGGAUAAUAUUUUGAACCGCAUGGUUCAGAAGUGAUAGACGGGCUUGCUGUGACUUAUAGAUGGAUCCGCGCUGCAUUAGCUAGUUGGUAAGGUAACGGCUUACCAAGGCAGCGAUGCAUAGCCGACCUGUGAGGGUGAUGGGCCACACUGGGACUGAGCGGCGGUACAGACUCCUACGGGAGGCCGCGGUAGCGAAUCGUCCGAGCUGGGCGGAAUCCUGCCGGAGGAACGCCGGGCGGAUGAUGCAGGGCUUCGGGCCGUAUAACUCUGUUAGUGGUGAAGAACAUUUUUGUACGUAACUGUGCACAGCUUGACGGUACCGAGUCAGAAAGCCACGGCUAACUACGUG
Molecule: ribosomal RNA, 497 nt
Filed under: uncultured bacterium
Lineage: Bacteria
Description: partial 16S ribosomal RNA
Rfam family: Bacterial small subunit ribosomal RNA
Source: RNAcentral